RNAcentral lists this long non-coding RNA (13619 nucleotides) under Marmota monax (woodchuck). The record is from RNAcentral. Lineage: Eukaryota; Metazoa; Chordata; Mammalia; Rodentia; Sciuridae.
GAACUGAAAGCAUUGAGAAGUUUCCCAUUAUAACAAGAAAAUAACUCCUCACGUUGGAAAAAAUACAACUCUUCAGCAUUAAGGUAAACAUGAACUCAUGUCUACUUUUGAAUGCAUAUUUUUAAAAUCACAAUUUGCUCUAUAAAAGCCCAUUUGUUUAUUCAACAAACUCUUAACUGGCUUCCAGAAUUUGACACACAUAAAUAUGAAAGACGCUGUCCUUGCCUUCAAAAAGCAUGGAGGAAAAUUAGCCUCUCACAUAGUUACUUGUCUAGGAAAAACCACCACUAUUGGGUCUCACUGUCAGAGAAGUGAGGUAUCUAAGCCUUAGGAUCUUCCCUCAACCUGCUGGUAUCCUAGGACCCAGCAACUGUGGGUAAGGGUUUCUUACCUCGCUGCUGGGCCAGGAAGUUUGGUUCCCCAAUGGCUACACAGCUGUUCUUAAUCCCUCUGGGAAGAGGUACUACAAAAGACACAAAGCAUUGACAGCAGGAAUCAGAACAUGGUUGAUUAUGACACAGUAUGAUUAUGACCACUUUAUCAAAUCAUGUGUGCAUUAAUAUCUCAGUGACAGUCAUAAAAUUCUGAUGCAACUCUUUUGGCUUAUAACAUGGUGUCAUACUGGCCCUAUAACACCAGCUGCAUUACUGGGAUAUGAACUUCAGAAAGGACCUCAGGGAUUAUUUUUAAUAACUUCACUUUUUUGAUGAUAAAACCAAGAUCCACAGAAUUGAAGUGAUUUACCCAAGAUCACAAAGCUAAGUAGAAAUGCGGUAUGGAUUCUCGGGGUAUGUCCCAGCUGUCUUGCACAGAGCUUACAAAAGCUGAUUAUGAAAUACUCAGGAAUUGGGCUGGGGUUAUAGCUCAGUGGCAGAGCAUUUGCCUGGCACAUGUGAGGCACUGGGUUCGAUCCUUAGCACUACAUAAAAAAAAUAAAUAAAUAAACUAAAGGCAUUCUGUCCAUAUAUAACUACCAAACAAAGAAAAAAGAAAUACUCAGGAAUUGUAUGAGCUAGUUGUUAAACCAAGGGUAAUAUAAAAUCUACCGUGUUGGGAAUAUUCACAUUAUGGAAAUUGGCAAAUUCCACAAAGCAAGGCUGUUUGUUUUUCAGAGAGCCAGUUUACCAGUAUACUGAGUUCAUCCCCAAACUCUUAGUACCUAAUUCAGCAUCCUUCAGUUACAGAAUUAUCCUCUGUUGCUACCCUUUACUGAACAUUUCUGGUUUAAACAUCUAGCCCACUUAUUCCAAAUGCUCCUUUUGUGACAUCCCAAAGCAUCUCUAAUUAUCUCAAGAGUUAUUAUGAAACUCUUCAAACACUCAACAACCAAAAUUAAUUUUAAUUAGCUUUAAUUAUGUUACAAAGACAUAUGGCAUACAACAGUUAUAUGGGUCGCAGAAUGAAGUAGACUGUGAUGGGAUCUCGCCACUCCAAAAGUUUGGGAUUUAUCAGUCCCUGCCUUCCCCAGCCCCCUAUAUCUACAACUUACUAAGUCUUUCAACCUGAAAGCUCCAAUCUUCCUGGAUUCUCAACCAAAUUUAGCCAUCUUGACAGCACAUUAGGAGCUACAUCCCCAGCAGCCACUCUGAGCUCUGGUUGCAGUACCCUUGCGGGAUCCUAUGGGCUCCCUCGUGUCCAUACAGCUACAGCCUUCACACUAUUCCUGUCCCAGUGCCCUUCUCUUGUACCUGAUCCCUGCUGUGCAUCUCGACUUUCCACCAGAUUGGAGCCCAGAAAGCUUGCUAAUUUAUGUGAAUUCCCAUUUCCAUAAAUUCCUGUCCUCCUUUCCAAAUGCUAGGCCACUGUCUAGGAUCUUGUUUCAAAGAGGAGUAACUACCUGCUAAAGACUGAAUCUUUCCUCCCCAAAUCCCUAAGUUGAAACCUCAACUCCCACUGGUAUUAGGAGGUGAGCAGUCAUGAGUGGAGCCCUUAGAGCGGGAUUAGUGUCCUUAUAAAGAAACUCAAGAGAGCGUGCCUCCUCUUUCUGCUCUGUCUUCUAAGUAUACAACCAGAGACGGCCAUCUGCAGAACAAGGGGCAGGCCUUCUACAGACACUGGAUCCACCAGCACCUUGAUUUUUGAUUUCUAGCCUCCAGAACAUGAGAAACAAAUUCCUGUUGUUCAAGGCACCAAUUCUAUGCUAUUCUUUUAUAGCAGUAUGAACUAAGACACUAGCCUAGGUUGACACCUAAGAAGAUAUCAUCACUACUAAUGAUGCUGCAAAUCUCUCCAAGCAGAUCAGUGCAGAAGGAUGUGGAAACCCAUCGGCCAGGUUUCCAUGAAUCCUUGAGCACUGUGAUUUAACGAUUGAUUGCUCUCACAAAGGACAGCUCAGCAGAUGAGACUUUGUCCCAGGUGUGAGCCUAUUCCUUUAUUGAAAUCAAACAUUUAGAAAACAAUUUGAGAAGCUCUGUAUCAACAUGUUAGCAGUAGUUAUCUACUUUGGGGUAAUAGGAUUUUGGAUGAUUUUAUUUUCCUCUUAUUGUUUGUCCAUAUUUGAUAACUUUUUCCAGUAAAUGCAUAUUACUUUAAAAGACAAAAUCAACCAACAUUACUUUUUAAUCAACAAUAUAUCCAAAUGUAUUGUCACAACAGUAACUAUUAGGCACCCAAGUAACUAAAGCAGGGCAGUGACUUCCCCAAAACAUCCAAGAUCGAUUAACUAUGUUCAGUCUGAUAUUCUGCAUAGAGCCUGAAACAUCCAUUCACAAAGCAAGGGUUUAAUCUACCUACUCUAUGCCCAGCGCUACGACAUGCAUUGGGAAUGCAAAGAUAAACAACAUGUGAUCCUUCCUCAAAAGAACCUCUCAAUCCAGAGGAGCAAGAGAAACUGAAAUAGGCAAUUAUUUUUCUAGUUGAUACAUCACAGGUGUUUCUAAUGAGAGGAAGCCCAAUACUAGAAAGAGGAAGGUCUGCUAUGCGAGGCGAUUUGACAGAGCUAGCAAGACAGAUGAAUGCCAACUAGAACAGAUGCAGGAACCCAUGGGAAUUGGGGGAGAAGGGACACACACACACACACACGUACAUACAUACAGAGAGAUGUACAGAGGAGAGAAUAUGCUCUAUAGACUACGAUCAACAUGAAUUGAUACUUGACAGUAGAAGAUGAGAGAAGUCCCACGUUUAGAGACUGUGCCUUUUUUUGGAUAGUAUUCUUGGGAGAGCCAGUUUGGUGGGGGAGAUGAUGAAGUCAGUUUGGGACAUGCUGCAUGUGAGAGGCCUGUGGGACACAGAGGUAAGUGUGGUCAGUAAGUGGUGGGUUCUAAUGGUCUAGAGACCCAGAGAGAUGUGGUGGCAGAAACCACAAAGGUGGACACCAUUGCCAAGAAACGAUUAGAAGAUGGGUCUGAAGGAGGAACCCUGAAGAAGAGCACCAACACUCACACAGCGAGAGGAGCCCGGGAAAGACAAGGAGGUGCCAGACCAACAGGCAGGAAACCAGCAGAGGACAGUGUCCCAGAAGUCAGAGGAGUGUGGCUUCAAAAACAGGAGAGUGGUCAAAAAUGUCCAAAGUGAGUUGUUGAGAAAGGCAACAAGUAAAAGCAGGCGUCCCUGCAUCACCAGAUUUGACAGUGAGGGACUUUGGUGGUUUCAACCUGAACAAUUUCAGUGGAACUGUGGUGGAGGGAGGGAGGGUGAUAGCCUCAGAAUCAUUUACGUAGCAAACAGCAAGUGCAGAAAAGCAGACAGCAAGAAGUGUAAACCACUCUUUUUAGAAGCUUAGAUGUGAAGAAAAGGGUUAGGGCCACCAUGAGGAGCUCAGGUUGGAAGAAUUGUUUAGGGAGAACAAAACUAAAUCCCUCGCUGCUUUGUGUGGAAGAUUGGAAACACAUAAAUGAAACAGCCAUUGAAGGGACCACUCAGAAGAGACAGGACACGCAGAAUCCGGGGAAAACUAAACCAUGCUAAGAGGAGGGCACCUGUUCCUCUGAGAAAGGAAAAAAAAGGUGAAGGCAGGCACAGGCGGAGGCGAAUUUAUACCCAGGGAUUGGAAACAGCUGUCUGUGGAUCAGAAUGCCAAGGUCCUCCGGCUAUCUCAGGAGUUAGGUUAGGGAUUAAUUUUUUUUUUUUGGUACCAGGGAUUGAACCCAAGGGUGCUUAACCCCCGAGCCAUCCCCAGCCCUUUUUGUUUUUUUAUUUUGAGACAAAGUCUCACCAAGUUGCUCAGUUCCUUACUAAAUUGCUCAGGUGGCUUUGAACUUGCAAUUUUCCUGCCUCAGCCUUCUGAGCCUCUGGAAGUACAGGUGUGCGCCACACGCCCAGCUUGGUUAGGGUUUUGAGAGGCACCAUGAAGGUUUAGAAUGGCCAGUAUGAAAAAUGUGCAUGUUUCAACUAGGAAUACAUGAGACACAAAUGAGUCAGAAGCAGACAUAAGUUCUCUGCAUGUCUCAUUACACUGAGAUCCCUGGCUAUAAUGAAGAGAUGGAGUCCAAUAGGACAGUAAAAAUUAAAUUUUAAAAAAAUUAAGUCACAAAAAUAACUUUUAAAAGUGGGACUAGUUAGGCACUGUGGCGCAUGCCUAUAAUCCCAGCAGCUUGGGAGACUGAAGCAGGAGGAUCGAAAGUUCAAAACCAGCCUCGGGGGCUGGGGAUGUGGCUCAAGCGGUAGCGCGCUCGCCUGGCAUGCGUGCAGCCCGGGAUCGAUCCUCAGCCCCACACACAAACAAAAAUGUUGUGUCCGCCGAAAACUAAAAAACAAAAUAUUAAAGGUGUUCUCUCUCUCUGUCUCUCUCUUUAAAAAAGCAAAAACAAAAACAAAAACGCCUCAGCAACUGCGCAAGGCACUGAGCCACUCAGUGAGACCUUGUCUCUAAAUAAAAUACAAAAUAGGGCAGGGGAUGUGGCUCAGUGGCCAAGUGCCCCCGAGUCCAAUCCCUGGUACCAAAAUAAAUAAAGAAAAUUGGGACUGAUGGGCACUUCCCACACCUGCAUUUCCAGUCACCCUUGAUGUGCGGUGGCUGCUGCUCUGAGGAGCAAGCAUCUCAUAUCUCUACUCAGGAAUGAGUCAAGGGAUGAAGGUUGAGUGCAGAGCAACCUCGUGCCUGCAACAAAGUCACCCCGGAGCCAGACUCAGAGAUACAGAUCUCAUGGCCUCAGCCAGAGACUGGCCAUCAAAACUCUGACCUUCCUUCAGGGAAGCUUGGUGGCAGCAAGAUGCUGAGCAGUGAGUGCUGGUCAGUAGUGCCAGUCAUCAGGAGGAGUGUGCCAAGAAAAAGCGGUGGCCACGCCAGAGUCAAUUAGCCUGGCACAGGCUCUGUAAGCCCCCAGUGCCUGUCCUGGGACUGUUCCUCUUAUUGCCAUCUUAGAAGUGAAGGUCUGGGCACACGGUAGAUUUUCUACUGGCGCAAGGAAUCCUGUAGAUAAGCCUAGACAAAGGACUCCCUCCAACGCCACCCACACACAAACCUGCUGCCUGCAAGGGCGCCCUGCAGCCAUGCCCCUCUGCGGCCAGGAGCUAGAGAAGCAGCACAGCAUUCAGGAAGGACGGCUUCAGGCCACUGUCAGACUGGCAGGAGAACACCCCCUUCCCUCUGCCACCCUUCCCACUUUAUUGGUGUCCCCUGAUUUGGGAUGAAUGGGAUGGCAGAGAGUUCUGACCCCACAUGAAGCUCCAAAAGGCAGAAGAGACUCUUACACCAGCUAAAUGAAAUAGCGGCAAUGUUCUUGGGGUAUUCUCCCAACUGCAGGCUGUCAGGGUGGAAAUCCCACAGAGGAAAAGCACAACACAGUGACCCUGAAAUAAGGCCAUCUGGAUGUGACUCCUGCUUCACUAUCUGCUGGCACAAGUUACUCUUGUCUCCUUUUCCUCAUAUGUAAAACUGAGGUAGGCCUCCUACCUCACAGAGUUAGUACAAGGGUGAAAGUAGAUCAAAAACCUACAAAAUAUUUGACACAUAGUAAAUGCUCAAUUAAUUAAUAGCUAUCAUUUUCCUGGCAAUACUGGAGAGUGCCUACCAAGAGCUCUGCAUGACUCAUGGGUGAAGGAUGAGUUUAUCCAUUGCUGCUGUGAGGUGCACAACUGACAUGGAGCCAUAAGAUCAGGAAAUAGAGAAACUGUGUCACCUGACUACACAGGAAAAAAAAAAAAGAGUGAGUAUGAAGGUAGAAAUAGCAGAAUGAGCAACCUUAAGAAAGUAUAGUCCAGGGCUUCAACACAGAAGUACUCGUAGCCCCACAGACAAUGCAGGACGCCACAGGAUAAGCAUCGAAAUUCUUCUUAAGCAAUAAUAAAAGGUAUUUUCAUCUUAAGCACAUGUUUCAGAGCAAAAUUCCAACUUAUCUUAAUUUUUAAGAUUAAGCAGAAGGCGUCAAAGAAAUUUCAUAUUGGAAUAAGACAGAUGCGUGCGUGCACACCACACACACACACACACACACACGCACGCACGCACAGAAGUCAUUUCAGGCCAUUUGGUGGAAAAGUUUGAGAGACACAUUCUGAACAAGAGCAGACAUUCAGACACACAGAGGCAGUGAGCUGGGAAGAAUCCAUCCUGGCAGGUGAACAGUGUCCAAGCCAACAAGACACAGGCCGAGGCCCUCGCUCGCAUCCAACUCUUUCACUUACAGACGGAUUGUGAUACCAGCUCUCCAUUGCUGGAUAAAAAUUCUGUUACGUAAUGUUCUACAGGGUCCCCAGGGGCUCAGUGGCGUUCUCGUUCUCUCUCUCUCUCUCUCUCUCUCUCUCUCUCUCUCUUGCUUCACCUGGGACAGACAGUGCUUAUUCUCUAAGGAAGGUAUAUUCCCAAGCUCCUCAGAGAAACAUUUUAGGCUCGGGAUGCUCUACACAAUAGAUAACACACGAAUGUGACUCAAACUCUCAUUUCAACUGCAGGAAGAAGGGAAACAGCCACCGUGCCACCGGAGAGCCUUCUCCUCUCCAGGUUACACAGCCCCUUAUAAAACUUCCUACCUUGAUCAUUUUGGGGAGGAACCAAGAUCCAGAGGAAAGAACACAGGAGUUGAAAGGUAGAUUUAAUUUCUGCUAUGCUACUUCCCAGCCACGUGCCUUUGGAAAAAUCAUCCCGUCUCUAUAAACCUCAGAUUCUUCAUCUUCAAAAAGUUCUUCAAAGGGCUGUAGAUGAAAUGAAACAGUAGAUGCAAAUCGCCCAGCGAAGUGCCUGUUAAACACAGGAGUGGGUUUUCAAUAAAUCUUUGCCUUCCUCUCGUCCAGGAUCUUUAGCUCCUGUUAAAGGUGUGGCCAGCUAAGCCACACGCAGAGCUCACAAUUCACAAGUGGGCUACAGCGCACUGGUCAAGAGCUCCAGCUCUGCAGUCAGAACUGGAUUUGAGGUCCAUCUCCUCCGUGGAGACUUGAAGCAAGCUCUUCACCUCCCAGGCUGUGUCCCUCUUUGUUAAAUGUCUGAAUAAUAGACAUCUCAUCUUCACAAGGUCAUUGUAGAAUAAAGAAGUCCUGUUUGUGGCGUGUACAUGGAGCAGAUGCAUAAUUAAAAUUUGAUGGAUUAAUGAAUGCACGAUUUGGGAAAAGCACAUAGCAAGUGCCUGCACAUUGUAAGUGCUCAACAAAAGUUUGAGCAUGGUAGAAGAGUCACUUUCUAGACUGUUCAGGGCACAUGUUCUUAUCUAGCUUUUAUCAUAGCAGCUCCUGUUGAACUUCUACCUUAACUAUCCUUCAUUAUGGGUUUAUAAUAUAAUCUGAGGUUAUUGUUUCUAAUAUUGAUUCUGCCCUUUCUUUCAUCAUAAUCUAUUGCAAUCAUAGCUUGUCUUUCCCUGAGAUGUGUGUCCUUGAAUCCUUAUUUUCAUUACCUAGCACUAUCAGUAGAAUUUGUCCACAAGAUCAGAAAGGGUCAGAGAUUUCACCAAACACACCCAGUGCUUCAAUAUUAGUCCGAAAUGGAGGCAAAUCAAUCACACAACUAUUAUGUAAUAGCCACAUAAUAUAUUUAACACAAAAAAUGCAAUUAUUUAAAAAUCCAUUGCAUGUGAAUACAAUGAUGGCAACCUUCAAAGGUAUCAGCUCAUAUAAAUAGAUUCAUUCAACCUGAUGAUAGAUAGGUGGGUAGGGAGAUAUUUAGUGAUAAAAAUAAGAGCACAAAGAUUAAUCUCUGUAUUUUCUCCUCACCCCAUUUGUCAGCCAACAAAGUUUCACACCAAUUUGUGGUGUUCUGCUCGUCUGCCCACUGUUCCCCGUACAAAAAUAGCCCCGUGUGCAGUGUGAAUGCAAACGCGUGCUUUAGAGGGACUCACAUCUCUCGUUCCCUCUGUCUGGAAUAAGUGCCUGCAGCUAGAGCAAUGCCCCCCCCCGGGGGGGGGGGCUGUUCUAAUGCUGAAUUUAGCACAUCAGGGAAAUUUCCAUAGGAGCCAUUUAUGAUGCCAAAAAACAAAGUUCAAACUUCAGUUUCUGGAGGACAUUUAAGGGCACAACAAGAUGAUGGAGAAGUUUCUUUCCUAGGCAUGCGUGUCUGCAGGCAUCACAGAGGAGGCUGCCAACGCUCACUGUUUCCUGGGAGCAUCCCAUCAAUGAAUGUCGUCGGUCGGCGGCCCGCAGAGUGAAGACUCAUGCCCUACCUGACAUUGCUCCUGAGAUGUGGUUUCUGCACAAGCUGGCUACACAUAUUCAGUUUUACAGUAAGAAGACGCCUCCUAGGCCCUGUGACAUUAAUGACACCACGACAUCUUAUUCUAGUGUUGGUCCAAAUGUCAUUCAUUGAAUAAAUGAUGUCACUAACUGAAUCCAGGGUUGAGGUUUGAAAAAAGACCUGCUUCAUUCAACAAAUAAUAUUUUAGAUAAACAUGAAUUCACUUAUUCUUUAUAAGUGAAUUUUCCUCCCAUAUGAAUGGACUCUCCAUAACUCCUAUAAUAAGGCUGCUAAGCCCAAAUCAGCUUGCGUGCUGUUUAAUAACCAAGAAAUGGUAGGAGACUGUACUUCAUUUACUGGGUGUUUAUUAAGUACCUACUAUGCACAGAGCAUUGUUCAGGUGUUGAGGCCCCAGGAAAUGAACAAAGUGAACUUGUUCCUUGUCUUCUUGGAGUUCACUGCCUAAUAGGACACGGACAAGGUAACAGGCAAUUCUAAUGCUAUGUACCAGGAAAGGGUGACAGUAAGCAGCAGCUGAGAUGCGUUACAAAGCAUCAGCCCUACUCCAGAGGAGGCUUUUCAGCAGAAUACAAUGCCAGCAGAGGCCGGGAGGAUAGAAAGUGUUGUCCUGGCCAGAGGAGGCCGUGAGCCCUGCGCAGGAUGGAAGCGAUAAGGGCUUGGAGGCCGGGGAAGGCCUGAGCGGUCACAGCAUCAGCAGCAGGUUUUCUGCACUGUGGUUUGAACUUAAAAUACAAAGAGAAGUGCUGAGGGCUGGGACUGAAGAGACCCUCCUAGCUGGCCUCACCCAGCCAAGAAGAGAGGAGCACAGCCCCACCUGUCCCCAGGACCCCCUAGUUUACACAUACUUACGAUGACUCUCUGCUACUUCUGCCUGCCCAGCAACCCAUCCUCUGGCUUCUGACAAUAAAUCAUCAAUUUUCCCUUUGAUGAACUUUCCUGCCCCGUCUCUGUCUAUCAUGGUGGGAUCAGCCCUACCUUUGCUCACAAAAUUUCAGGCCUGAAGAACAGGCACAAAAAUUCAGACCUGAAAACCAAUAUUCCUGCAUCUCCUGGCCAUGUGACUGAUUCAGCAGACAGUAUGUGUCCAAAGACUCACACCCUGAACUUAGUCUGAACUACUGGGGAGGAAGAAUGCUUCCCAUUGGUGGACUGAGACAACAGAAUGUCAACCCAGAGCUCCAGGCAGCCAACUGCUCCCCCGUUCAUUCAUUCAAUGAUAGUUAAAUAAUUAGCUAGUAUGUGCCUCAGACUAUAAGCAUUAGGAAUACAGAAAUUUAAAAAAAAAACAAUUCUUCAUAAGUUUUCACACUCAACUGCAGAGGCAAAUAAAAUCACAUCCUUGAUAAGUGUUAGAGGUUACGUAGAUUAUCAUAGGUGCAGGGAAGGGCAGCCAACUUGGCUUCCUGGGGGAGAAAGUGUUCAUUGAACCUUGUUGGAUAAUUAAAAUUUAUUUGGGUAAGUUGGGGGAAGGGUCCGGAAGAAGAAUCAGGAAGUGCCCAGGCAUGGAGGGGGUGUUCAGAUGAGUGAGUUCUGGUGAUCCUCCACAUUCAGUCAGGCUGGAGGGUGCUGCCACACAGCCAUAUGGGGAAAAAAGUCCCGUCAAGUCAGCACUGACUGAAACAUGGAGGCUUCAGAUCUCUGCGGAAGAUUAAAAGCAGGGGGUAGCAUGAAGAUCACACAAGUCACAAUGUAGAUGGUUUCGGAAUGUGAGGCUGCAGACAAGGUGAACCUUAGGUCGCAAUUACCAUGGUCCUCCUCAAAACAGUGCUCAACCAAAGCACAGGUGAAAAGGGAGCAGACAGUGGGACAGACAGCAGGAAGAAGAAUAAAUAGGAUGUAGAAGUUAGCUGGCCUUCUACAGCUCUGGACUGGUGACUGUAGAUGAUAAUGCCCCUGAUCCAGUGAAAUUCGGUUUAUUGGGAGAAUCAGGUUUUAUGAGCAAAGGUAAUUUCAGGUUGGGCCACAGUAAGUUGAGAUGUCCCCAGGACAAUGUACUAGAGGUGGCUAGGCAGUGACAGUGAGUCAGGAACUCAGGGAGAAGUCUGAGGAGCAUACACUUUGGGUGGGUGGUGUUCAUCUCUUUAUCCGUCGUCUCUUAAUCCUUAAGAUCUAUAUGGAGUUUAUGGAGUAUUGUCAGCAUGUGUCAUAAUUAAAAUCCUGGCUAUGAAUGAGGUUAUCAAGGAUGAGCACAGACUUCAAAAUAAGAAAAGGACACAUUAAGGUAAAAAGCAGAGAAAGAUAGAGAUGCACAAAGACCAAGACGGGAGUCAGAACAGCAUCAGGGCAGCCAAGGAGGAGGGAGUGUCAGAAAGAGGAAGAGAUAGAAAGAACAGAUUUAGUUAGAGAUCAAGUCACAUAAGAAGGGAACGUGUCCACAGGAAUCUAUAAGGUUGGUGAAGGAUCAGGAAAGGGAGAGGAUGGUGGGAAGGGAUUGCGGGUUGCUUGGUUGGUUGGUAUAAAAUGAAAGACUCUUGAAUGUGUUUUUACACAAGAUGGAAGAUCUGGCAUAAAGGAGAGGCCGAGAUGCAAGAGGAAUAGCAGAGUAAUGAGCAUGGUGGUCCCUGCGAGGCUGAUGGGGAUGGAUGGUCAGGAGAAGGGCUGUGCCCCAGGUCGAGAAGUACACCUCUGCCUUUGAGAAGGGAGGAAGGCAGCAAGAGAUAGGAGAAUGGCCAUGUAGAUAAUUGUGUGAACUAGGCUAAGCAAGGUUGAUGGGGAAACAGUAUAUAUAAUAAUCAUGUUAAAGAAAUCCGUUUCAUCUAUCAUUCUCUUAAAACGUGAAACUCCCACAGUUUCCAUCAAGAAUGACUAAGCUGAUGGUGAGGGGUCUUGAAAAGCUAAGAUGCACCACACAGUCACGUGGUGGGCAGAUUCUAUUCUAUUUGAAACCACAGCCUGCCUUAUUUUUUGACUCAAGUUAAAUUUUUUUCAAACAUAAGCCUGUCGGUCAUGCCUAUUUUAAGCAAUUUCAUUUUCCUUGGUGUCGGGCUUUCUUAUCUUUGUCCUUCAAAUUCAGCAUCAGUAGAGAUACUCGUUCCAAUCACUAACCAUUUGAAAAUAGAAGCCAGGCAUUUAAGAUGAUUCCGUGGGGUUAGCUCCUUUAAGAAUCUUUCUCAAAAGCAACCCUUUCUCCUACGAAUGUCUUAUUGUAAGUGGGCCCUUCUAGGAGGAUUCUUCCAGUUUCUGCCAGAGAAUAUCACAAUCUGAUGAGGCCUGGUUGGUGACAGGGGAGACCCAUUGAGUAAGUAAAGCACCCCUCCCAAAAUACAAUGCUGUUUGGAAGCUGUUCCUCAAGGGGAGACUCACACCAGGUGAAGAACCAACUACUGAAGAGGUUAGCCAUUCCCACGCAUCCGUUUUCCUAGCACACAAGCUACAGCCAGAGUGCCAUAUGGUUCAUGGCGUCAAUGCCAGGACCCAAAUCCAGGUCUGCAGCCUACCAGCCUCAUGUUCAUUCCUCCUCUCAUAACACCUGUUUUUCCUGCUGGGACACAAACUCCACGGAGCAGCAACCUCUUCAUCGUAUUCACUUAGGUAUACACAGCAUGGAGGUGAUAAUCAGAAAUAGCUGUUGGUCAAUACGUUAACUGCACCUGGGAUGGAGCACUGGUGGUCAUUUGUAAGGUUUCAUGCAGCUCCGGACAUCAAAGAGUCUCACCAGAAAGAAAAAAACAUCACCAACCCAUACACACAUGGUUUAUGGACUCUGAAAUGCCAGGAACUCUGGACAUGACUUCCAGAGUGGAAGUCUUGGGAACAGCAGCCACAGAGCCACCUCUUAGUUAACGGGAUCUGUGCCAGGGUUUCAUUUGUCAUGGAGUUGGCAGGCAUCAGGCCCCUACUCAUCCAUGUAGCUUGAGAACAGAAGUUUCCACAUUGCUUCUAAGUCAGCUUUAACCAGUUUGAAUCCUUCUUAAAAUAUUUAACAGGCCUCUCCUCUCCCCAAACACUGUAGUUGCUAAGCCUCCUUUCAUCUUACCAUAAUCAAACUUGCCUCAAUUUUUAUGUAAUUUUUAUGCACAUUAGCCAUGCAUUCCAUCCCACAGGGGACAGCCCCUGCCAGGGUAUGCGGGUGCUGUACAAAGUUAGGGUUUAAACACGGCAUAGCCUGUCUGAGGUUAGUUUUUACAAAAAAGAUCCUGUUAAGUUCUUCGUUUUGCUGAAACCAUGUGCUGGCUUAAUGCCUUUUUUUCUCUGGUUAAGACCUAAGACUUCUCAAAGGAAUGUGCUAGAAGGGUCUCCAGUGGGAAUUGUAUUCCCUCUCAGCAUUUUUCAUUUGGGUUCCGUCUGGGUUAAUUGGUUAAUGGUGAAAAUAAGUACUUACAUCUUUUGCCACUAAAUCAGGAGUUCCUGCUGCUGCUUCUGCUACAUCCCCUCAUGACAGCCUGCUAUUACUCACAGCUGGCAGACACUGUAAAAAGUGAUGCCACGUCAGCCACGCAGAACCUUUCUGCUUCAGCCACAGUUUCCCAACGGAAUGAUUUAGUAUGUAGUUCCCAAGGCUGGAAACAUGACCUGACCACCAUAUUGAGAAGGUCUGAAUUAAAGCAGACACUACUUGAAAUUACAGAAAGAAAGCACAAAUACCUCUUAGGGUAUCUGAGUGAAAACCCCAAGGAGAACAUAAAUAUUACAUUGACUUUUUAAAUAAUCAUGACAGCAGGUUAAUAAUUGACCAAAAAAGGGGUAUCUGCAUUAGAAAUUUAAAGAAAACUUAGGGACUUUUAGCAUUAUGGAUGUUAGUUCACUAAAAAAUUAUGAAUUUGGGCUGGGAUUGCGGCUCAGCAGUAGAGGGCUCACCUAGCAUGUGUGAGGCCCUGGGUUGGAUCCUCAGCACCACAUGAAAAUAAAUAAAUAAAGGUAUUUUUUAAAAAGAUUAUAUGUGAGUGUCUAUGUAUCCAUACAGAUAAAUGGAUAUAAAAGUUACAUAUCUGGAAAUUAAUAAUGCUUCCUUUGUUUGAGAGAGAAAAUAUGAAAGGGAGUAUUGAUAGAGAUGGAAAUAACUUUUUAAAAGGCUUCAAAAUGAUCUUGUAAAAAAUGAAAAAUAAAAAUAAAAAGGCUUGAC